Nomascus leucogenys (northern white-cheeked gibbon) is the source of this 110-nucleotide unclassified non-coding RNA. It matches the Rfam family "Y RNA". From Rfam's summary of the family: Y RNAs are components of the Ro ribonucleoprotein particle (Ro RNP), in association with Ro60 and La proteins. The Y RNAs and Ro60 and La proteins are well conserved, but the function of the Ro RNP is not known. The record is from Ensembl. NCBI's taxonomy places the organism in Eukaryota, Metazoa, Chordata, Mammalia, Primates, Hylobatidae.
GGCUCGUCCGAAGUAGUGGGUUAUCUCAAUUGAUUGUUCACAGUUACAGAUCGAACUCCUUGUUCUAUUUCCUCCCAUCCCUUCUCACUACUGCACUUGACUAGUCUUAA